GGGCCCGCACAAGCGGCGGAGCAUGCGGAUAAUUCGAUGCAACGCGAAGAACCUUACCAAGGCUUGACAUGUGCCGGAAAAGUGCAGAGAUGUGCUCCCCGCAAGGUCGGUACACAGGUGGUGCAUGGUUGUCGUCAGCUCGUGUCGUGAGAUGUUGGGUUAAGUCCCGCAACGAGCGCAACCCUCGUUCUAUGUUGCCAGCGGGUUAUGCCGGGGACUCAUAGGAGACUGCCGGGGUCAACUCGGAGGAAGGUGGGGAUGACGUCAAAUCAUCAUGCCCCUUAUGUCUUGGGCUUCACGCAUGCUACAAUGGCCAGUACAAAGGGCUGCGAUACCGCAAGGUGGAGCGAAUCCCAAAAAACUGGUCUCAGUUCGGAUUGGGGUCUGCAACUCGACCCCAUGAAGUCGGAGUCGCUAGUAAUCGCAGAUCAGCAACGCUGCGGUGAAUACGUUCCCGGGCCUUGUACACACCGCCCGUCAAGUCACGAAAGUCGGUAACACCCGAAGCCGGUGGCCCAACUCGUAAGAGGGGGAGCCGUCGAAGGUGGGACUGGCGAUUGGGACU
Molecule: ribosomal RNA, 565 nt
Filed under: uncultured bacterium
Lineage: Bacteria
Description: bacterial SSU rRNA
Rfam family: Bacterial small subunit ribosomal RNA
Source: RNAcentral